UCCCUAGAGGACUAGUGGUUAGGCCUCAGCACUCUCACUGCUGCGGCCUGGGCUCGAUUCCCGGCCAGGGAG
This 72-nucleotide transfer RNA is filed under the name Pangasianodon gigas (Mekong giant catfish). Its description in RNAcentral is "tRNA-Glu". It matches the Rfam family "tRNA". Rfam says of the family: Transfer RNA (tRNA) molecules are approximately 80 nucleotides in length. Their secondary structure includes four short double-helical elements and three loops (D, anti-codon, and T loops). Further hydrogen bonds mediate the characteristic L-shaped molecular structure. tRNAs have two regions of fundamental functional importance: the anti-codon, which is responsible for specific mRNA codon recognition, and the 3' end, to which the tRNAs corresponding amino acid is attached (by aminoacyl-tRNA synthetases). tRNAs cope with the degeneracy of the genetic code in two manners: having more than one tRNA (with a specific anti-codon) for a particular amino acid; and 'wobble' base-pairing, i.e. permitting non-standard base-pairing at the 3rd anti-codon position. The record is from RNAcentral. Lineage: Eukaryota; Metazoa; Chordata; Actinopteri; Siluriformes; Pangasiidae.